This 406-nucleotide ribosomal RNA is filed under the name uncultured bacterium. Its description in RNAcentral is "partial 16S ribosomal RNA". It matches the Rfam family "Bacterial small subunit ribosomal RNA", at positions 30 to 526 of the family's 1533-position model. The record is from RNAcentral.
AUUGAACGCUGGCGGCAGGCCUAACACAUGCAAGUCGAACGAGUGGCGGACGGGUGAGGAAGGUCUGGGAAAAUGACUGAAGGAGGGGGAUAAAUACUGGAAACGGUAGCGAAUACCGCAUACCAUCGGAUGUGCCGAGAUGGGAUUAGCUAGUAGGUGGGGUAACGGCUCACCUAGGCGACGCUCCCUAGCUGGUCUGAGAGGAUGACCAGCCACACUGAAACUGAGACACGGUCCAGCCUCCUCCGGUAGGCAGCAGUGGGGAAUAUUGCACAAUGGGCGCAAGCCUGAUGCAGCCAUUCCGCGUGUAUGAAGAAGGCCUUCGGGUUGUAAAGUACUUUCAGCGGGGAGGCGUUACCCGCAGAUGAAGCACCGGCUAACUCCGUGCCAGCAGCCGCGGUAAUUC